AACGAACGCUGGCGGAAUGCCUAACACAUGCAAGUCGAACGAGGUCUUCGGACCUAGUGGCGCACGGGUGAGUAACGCGUGGGAAUCUGCCUUGGGGUACGGAAUAACUCAGGGAAACUUGAGCUAAUACCGUAUGAUGUCGUGAGACCAAAGAUUUAUCGCCCCAAGAAGAGCCCGCGUCAGAUUAGCUAGUUGGUGAGGUAAUGGCUCACCAAGGCGACGAUCUGUAGCUGGUCUGAGAGGAUGAUCAGCCACACUGGGACUGAGACACGGCCCAGACUCCUACGGGAGGCAGCAGUGGGGAAUAUUGGACAAUGGGCGAAAGCCUGAUCCAGCAAUUCCGCGUGAGCGAAGAAGGCCUCGGUUGUAAGACUCUUCGGUCAGGACGAGUAAUAGACGGUACCGUCGCAGAAGAAGACCCGGCCGUAACUCCGUGCCACGCAGCCGCGGUAAACGAACCGAGAGUA
RNAcentral lists this ribosomal RNA (467 nucleotides) under uncultured bacterium. RNAcentral's name for it is "bacterial SSU rRNA". It matches the Rfam family "Bacterial small subunit ribosomal RNA", at positions 29 to 534 of the family's 1533-position model. The record is from RNAcentral.